GACUAGCUAAGAACGAUGAUGCUCCAGUUGAGCGCAUAUAAUUAGCAAGUGAAACUUUGAACCGUUCUUUUUUUUUUUUUUUUUGGUGUCAUGUGUUUGUUUACAUACAUACACAUACGUACGUAUGUUCAUAUGUAUAUUUAUUGAUUUUUCUACGUGCUGAACAUCUUGUGUAAAAUCUAUUUGCACUUCACACGGCGGCAAUGGUCCAAUUACACAGAGAGAAAACGCAACAGCAAAAGAAGAAGUUUAGGAGAUGACAAAUUUAGCAAAAGUUGCAAAUAUGCAAAUUUUGUUGAAACCGAAUCAGGAACUGCGACAUUAACUUUGGUUAAUCAAAGAUUACAUUCAUCAGCAUUUAACUGGCCAUCAAACGAGAUAAUUUGAUUACAGGGCAUCUUCUGAGUCGAUCAAUGAAUUGUUAAACAAAGUCAAUAUAAGAUGAUCGCUAAGGGAAAAUAGUUUUAUCAUCCGUUCCAAACUUACUACAAAGCUAAAUCCUCAUUGGAACUCACUUUGAGCAAGCCAAAGCUCUUCGUGGCAACUUGGAGUGUUUCAUCAAAACUACAACAACAUCAUAAUUUGCAUAUGUACAAUUGUCUCAAGAUAUCUACAAAAGAACGUACCUGGAGCUGCUAAAACGUGAGACGAAGGACAUUGAGUGAUCCUAUAAAAAGAAGAUCUUAAGCAUUUAUCCAGUAGAAACUUCCAGUAAAAGUCGUCAUAUUAGAAUACAUUUUUCUAUUUAUGUAGUAAGCUUAAUUCACUCUGGCUCAUACCAUUGCAAAAAGGAAUUGUAUUCGUUAUAACAAUAAAAAAUAAUAAUAAUAAAAAUUUGUAAUAGUAUA
Long non-coding RNA from Drosophila albomicans, 848 nucleotides. RefSeq lists it as uncharacterized. The record is from RefSeq and is a predicted model, not a curated record. The transcript has 5 exons. Lineage: Eukaryota; Metazoa; Arthropoda; Insecta; Diptera; Drosophilidae.